The sequence is a regulatory RNA element, 177 nucleotides long. It matches the Rfam family "Lysine riboswitch aptamer". From Rfam's summary of the family: Riboswitches are metabolite binding domains within certain messenger RNAs that serve as precision sensors for their corresponding targets. The record is from Rfam.
CGGUGAGGUAGAGGCGCGAAUACGAAUAGUACCCUUUAUGAGGAUGACAACGUUGACUAAAGGAGAAAGGCAAGUUCGCCGAAGUUUAUAGAAAAAGUCAAGUUUCUAUAAGCUGGGACUGUAUUAAAUAAAUGCAGGACUGUCACAGUUGAAAGACUGUGGAGAACUACUACUGAA